This 433-nucleotide ribosomal RNA is filed under the name uncultured bacterium. RNAcentral describes it as "partial 16S ribosomal RNA". It matches the Rfam family "Bacterial small subunit ribosomal RNA", at positions 29 to 507 of the family's 1533-position model. The record is from RNAcentral.
AGCGAACGCUGGCGGCAGGCCUAACACAUGCAAGUCGAACGAACUCUUCGGAGUUAGUGGCGGACGGGUGCAUAACACGUGGGAACGUGCCUUUUGGUUCGGAAUAACUCAGGGAAACUUGUGCUAAUACCGAAUGUGCCCUUCGGGGGAAAGAUUUAUCGCCAUUAGAGCGGCCCGCGUCUGAUUAGCUAGUUGGUGAGGUAACGGCUCACCAAGGCGACGAUCAGUAGCUGGUCUGAGAGGAUGACCAGCCACACUGGGACUGAGACACGGCCCAGACUGCUACGGGAGGCAGCAGUGGGGAAUCUUGCGCAAUGGGCGAAAGCCUGACGCAGCCAUGCCGCGUGAAUGAUGAAGGUCUUAGGAUUGUAAAAUUCUUUCACCGGGGACGAUAAUGACGGUACCCGGAGAAGAAGCCCCGGCUAACUUCGUG